CCCUCUCUCUCUCUCUCUCUCUCUCUCGCCAUCCUCUCGGGGCUCCGCGAACCACGCGCCGGCACCGCCCUAGACGCGCCCGAGAGCGACCCGACCCGCCGCCGCCGCCGCCGCCAUGUCGGACGAGGAGCACCACUUCGAGGCCAAGGGCGACGCCGGAGCCUCCAAGACGUUUCCCCAGCAGGCCGGCACGAUCCGCAAGAGCGGGUACAUCGUCAUCAAGGGGCGCCCCUGCAAGGUCGUUGAAGUCUCCACUUCUAAGACUGGGAAGCACGGUCACGCCAAGUGCCACUUUGUUGCAAUUGAUAUUUUCAAUGGAAAAAGCUCGAAGAUAUUGUCCCUCAUCCCACAACUGCGAUGUUCCCCAUGUCAAUCGUACUGACUACCAGCUUAUUGACAUCUCUGAGGAUGGAUUUGUGAGUCUGCUAACUGAAAAUGGGAACACCAAGGAUGACCUGAGGCUCCCAACUGAUGAUAAUUUGCUGUCUCAGAUUAAGGAUGGUUUUGCUGAUGGAAAGGAUCUGGUGGUGUCUGUGAUGUCUUCCAUGGGAGAAGAACAGAUCUGUGCUCUUAAGGACAUUGGCCCAAAGUAAUAACAGCAUGGUGCUCUUCGUACUUUAAUUUAUCGAUUCUCUAGCGAAUUUUGCCAAAGAUGUUAUAGAUUCCAUGUUAAGGUGCUAUAUUCUUUUGGGUUCUGGUUGUGGAAGUGUAUUUGAGGUGAGACCUGUACUAGAUUUGAGAUACUUUGCUUUGGAAUGCAUGGUGUCGGGUUACUAUUCAGCUGAUGACCAUCUGUAACAAGAUGGGCGAAUCUGCCAAAGAGUUGAAUCGAACUUUUUUGUUAA
Eucalyptus grandis is the source of this 845-nucleotide RNA transcript. It is a transcript of the gene named eukaryotic translation initiation factor 5A-2, with no coding region annotated. The record is from RefSeq and is a predicted model, not a curated record. Lineage: Eukaryota; Viridiplantae; Streptophyta; Magnoliopsida; Myrtales; Myrtaceae. The transcript has 5 exons.